RNAcentral lists this ribosomal RNA (253 nucleotides) under uncultured bacterium. Its description in RNAcentral is "partial 16S ribosomal RNA". It matches the Rfam family "Bacterial small subunit ribosomal RNA", at positions 524 to 776 of the family's 1533-position model. The record is from RNAcentral.
UACGUAGGUGGCAAGCGUUAUCCGGAAUUAUUGGGCGUAAAGAGCUCGUAGGCGGUUUGUCGCGUCUGCUGUGAAAGCCCGGGGCUCAACCCCGGGUGUGCAGUGGGUACGGGCAGGCUGGAGUGCAGUAGGGGAGACUGGAAUUCCUGGUGUAGCGGUGAAAUGCGCAGAUAUCAGGAGGAACACCGAUGGCGAAGGCAGGUCUCUGGGCUGUUACUGACGCUGAUGUGCGAAAGCGUGGGGAUCAAACAGG